Molecule: long non-coding RNA, 845 nt
Organism: Dama dama (fallow deer)
Lineage: Eukaryota; Metazoa; Chordata; Mammalia; Artiodactyla; Cervidae
Exons: 2
Source: RefSeq, a predicted model, not a curated record
UGCAGAACACCUUGCCGCCAUCGGUGCUGGGUGCCGCGUGGCCGUAGCCUAGGGGAAAACGGGGCAAGAGGAGAGAAAGCACAUGCUGACGGGGCUGCCAUUCCAGAAACCUGCCUCCCUUCCCCCUGCUCUCUCCUCAUCUUCUGCCACGGUGGUGCGGAGUCUGGCCUCUUUUUCCGGACAGGGAAGCCUGGGGCACUGCAGCCCGUGAGGUCGCAAAGAGUCGGACACCGACUGAGAGACUGAAGAAAACAACACAUAGUUACGGGCGCAUCCUUGUCCCCAGGCACUGUGCUAGUUCUUCGCUGAUGAUUUUUCGUUUAUUCUUCUGACCACUCCCUGGGGGUCGGUAAAGAGGAAGAGGAAGCAGGGAGGGUUAAGUGCCUUUCCAAGGUCACGCUGUUUGGAAGCAGAGCAACUUGCCUUCAAAUUAGAGUCUGUUUGAUCAAAGACCCGACCUUUUUCUAUACCCAGAAGAGGAGCUGACUGGUGCUGCUGUUGGGAACUUAGUCAUGGAUACCAUGAAGAGCACUGCCAUCCUGGAUUGCUCACAGCUGGAAGUGAUCCCUGCCUUGAGUGGCACUGAGAAUGUUCAGCUUUGAAGUCCAGGCCCUGCUCUGUCACUCAAGUCCCCCAACUACAUAUGAACAGCUAAAUACUGGCUUGGAGUCUGUGGGAGUGGACACUGCUGGACAUUGUCAUGUUCCUCCCUGCCCACCCCCCCUCCCACACACAUUGCCAGCCAGGCCUGUGGAAUAUGCCCCAAAUUCAUGUGAUGAGUUGAUGGCAAAGUGGGAUACCAUCUGCCUUGGUGUCUGAUCUGCAUGAAAAUCCCUACUCUGCUA